This 511-nucleotide ribosomal RNA is filed under the name uncultured bacterium. RNAcentral's name for it is "bacterial SSU rRNA". It matches the Rfam family "Bacterial small subunit ribosomal RNA", at positions 22 to 518 of the family's 1533-position model. The record is from RNAcentral.
GGUCAGAACGAACGCUGGCGGCGCGUUUUAAGCAUGCAAGUCGAGCGGCAAGGGCCCUUCGGGCCCCUAGAGCGGCGGACGGGUGAGUAACACGUGGACAAGUCUGCCCCCCGGCCCGGGAUAGCCCAGGGAAACCUGGAUUAAUACCGGAUGGAGACGGGACCCGCGAUGGCGGGACCCGGGAAAGGCGCUGCGGCGCCGCCGGGGGAUGAGUCUGCGUCCCAGUUAGCUGGACGGCGGGGUAACGGCCCACCGUGGCGACGAUGGGUAGCCGGCCUGAGAGGGUGGACGGCCACAUUGGGACUGAGACACGGUCCAGACUCCUACGGGAGGCAGCAGCUAAGAAUCUUCCGCAAUGGGCGAAAGCCUGACGGAGCCGACGCCGCGUGAACGAAGAAGGCCGUGAGGUUGUAAAGUUCUUUUCGGGAGGGGGAACAACCGUGGCAGGGAAUGGCCGCGGGAUGACGUGAAUCCCGGAAUAAGCCCCGGCUAACUACGUGCCAGCAGCCGC